GGUCUUGACAUCCCGGAGACCCUUAGGAAACUAGGGGGUGCUUCCAUCUGGAAGAAUCUGGAGACAGGUGCUGCAUGGCUGUCGUCAGCUCGUGUCGUGAGAUGUUGGGUUAAGUCCCGCAACGAGCGCAACCCUUGCCUUUAGUUGCCAGCAGUUCGGCUGGGCACUCUAAAGGGACUGCCGGUGUUAAACCGGAGGAAGGUGGGGAUGACGUCAAGUCCUCAUGGCCUUUAUGACCAGGGCUACACACGUACUACAAUGGCCGAUACAAAGGGCAGCGACACUGCGAGGUGAAGCCAAUCCCGUAAAAUCGGUCUCAGUCCGGAUUGGAGUCUGCAACUCGACUCCAUGAAGUUGGAAUCGCUAGUAAUCGUGGAUCAGCCAUGCCAACGGUAGAAUACGUUCCGGGCCUU
Molecule: ribosomal RNA, 413 nt
Filed under: uncultured Desulfobulbus sp.
Lineage: Bacteria; Pseudomonadati; Thermodesulfobacteriota; Desulfobulbia; Desulfobulbales; Desulfobulbaceae
Description: bacterial SSU rRNA
Rfam family: Bacterial small subunit ribosomal RNA
Source: RNAcentral